This is a long non-coding RNA of Haemorhous mexicanus (house finch), 462 nucleotides long. RefSeq lists it as uncharacterized. The record is from RefSeq and is a predicted model, not a curated record. NCBI's taxonomy places the organism in Eukaryota, Metazoa, Chordata, Aves, Passeriformes, Fringillidae. The transcript has 3 exons.
AGAGCUGAAAUCUCCAGAGAUCACAAGAAGGAGAAUAUCUGGCUCAAUAUGUGCAUCUAUAUGGAUUUUAAAAAUAUCUGGAGGAGGCAACCACAGUUGAAAUGAGAGCUGCAAAAGCUGGAAAGUCAUCACUGAUGAUGUACAGCAAAAGAGAGAGACAUGAGCUAGGAUACAGGAGAACUGGUGCUUAUGUUAAGAUCCUCCACUGAUCUGGUGACCUCCGCCAAGUCAGACAUGAAGACAGUCAUCUAAGUGUCCUCAGUCUUUUCUGAAGAAGAAUAUGAUGGCUAAUGGUGUUCUGCCAGGACAUACAUCUGUUUGUAUUUAGGCUUCUCUCCACAUGGUUGGAUUUGUAAUGUGGACAAAGAAUUACCUUUUCUUUCCAUAUUCUGUAUGGGCUUAAGCUAAUUUUCUCAUUAUUCAGUUUCAGUCACCUUACAACAUCCCAGGACUUCUAUUCUU